GAUGAACGCUGGCGGCGUGCCUAACACAUGCAAGUCGAGCGAAGCACUUUGCUUAGAUUCUUCGGAUGAAGAGGAUUGUGACUGAGCGGCGGACGGGUGAGUAACGCGUGGGUAACCUGCCUCAUACAGGGGGAUAACAGUUAGAAAUGACUGCUAAUACCGCAUAAGACCACAGCACCGCAUGGUGCGGGGGUAAAAACUCCGGUGGUAUGAGAUGGACCCGCGUCUGAUUAGCUAGUUGGUAAGGUAACGGCUUACCAAGGCGACGAUCAGUAGCCGACCUGAGAGGGUGACCGGCCACAUUGGGACUGAGACACGGCCCAAACUCCUACGGGAGGCAGCAGUGGGGAAUAUUGCACAAUGGGGGAAACCCUGAUGCAGCGACGCCGCGUGAGCGAAGAAGUAUUUCGGUAUGUAAAGCUCUAUCAGCAGGGAAGAGAAUGACGGUACCUGACUAAGAAGCACCGGCUAAAUACGUGCCAGCAGCCGCGGUAAUACGUAUGGUGCAAGCGUUAUCCGGAUUUACUGGGUGUAAAGGGAGCGUAGACGGAUGGGCAAGUCUGAUGUGAAAACCCGGGGCUCAACCCCGGGACUGCAUUGGAAACUGUUCAUCUAGAGUGCUGGAGAGGUAAGUGGAAUUCCUAGUGUAGCGGUGAAAUGCGUAGAUAUUAGGAGGAACACCAGUGGCGA
This 690-nucleotide ribosomal RNA is filed under the name uncultured Lachnospiraceae bacterium. RNAcentral's name for it is "bacterial SSU rRNA". It matches the Rfam family "Bacterial small subunit ribosomal RNA", at positions 28 to 718 of the family's 1533-position model. The record is from RNAcentral. Lineage: Bacteria; Bacillati; Bacillota; Clostridia; Lachnospirales; Lachnospiraceae.